ACCCCUCCUCCAGUGCUCUCUCCUGCUGACAGGGAGAUGACCUCAGGACUGGAGGUGUGCAAUUGCCACUUCACUCGGCAAGACCGGUCCAAGGGGACACAGGGGACCAAAGCUGCAGCAAUCAGACUGUGUCCCAACAUCAUGCACACUGGAGCUUCCUUCCUCCCUCGGUCCUGGCUGUUGAGCGGUGAGUCUGUAAGUUCCCGGCAGCUGUGCUCUAAGAAGAAACUGGGAGUUCAUUAAGAAGCAGGAAAGUGAGCUGGAGAGAAUGCCGUCAAUGUUGUCUCCACCUGAAGUGAAUUUCAACAUUACCACAGCUCCUUCCUGGGAUAUUGAGUCCAGGACCCGUUAUGAUGCAAAAUAGAAUUAUGGGGCCUCUUGUUCAAAAGCAGGAAACACGUGUCAUUACAGUGCUGAUACUGGACCGCAGAAGACAGCACUUUGCAUGGAACACAGAACUGACACCCUCCUCCACACAGGAUGAAUGAGUUCAGCAAACGCUCAGCAAACAUUAACUAGUUUUAUUAAAGCAUCCAAUCUCCUUUAACAGGAGAAGCGCCCUGCCCACUGGAUGAUAGCCAGAUCUUCCAAAGUGGUUUGGCCACAUUUGCACUAGAGCCUGUUCAAGAUAAUCUACUGAGUUUACAGGAAGAAAGUAGUAGAAUUUACUUAUUUCUUUUUACAUUUCUGUUUAUCUUAUCCUUUCUUAUUGUUUAUGUUUUUUCCUAAAGCUUGGAUUUCCAUUUCAAUUCUUCCAUAGUGUUUUAUUCAAAUUUCAUAUUUGAAAGCCUUAUUAUGGAUUACCAUAAAUAAAUGAAAGUUAAUACUUGAA
Long non-coding RNA from Canis lupus familiaris (dog), 832 nucleotides. RefSeq lists it as uncharacterized. Lineage: Eukaryota; Metazoa; Chordata; Mammalia; Carnivora; Canidae. The record is from RefSeq and is a predicted model, not a curated record. The transcript is spliced from 3 exons.